Molecule: transfer RNA, 71 nt
Filed under: Marmota monax (woodchuck)
Lineage: Eukaryota; Metazoa; Chordata; Mammalia; Rodentia; Sciuridae
Description: tRNA.Undet
Rfam family: tRNA
About the family: Transfer RNA (tRNA) molecules are approximately 80 nucleotides in length. Their secondary structure includes four short double-helical elements and three loops (D, anti-codon, and T loops).
Source: RNAcentral
UGGGGUGUGGCUCAGCGGUAGAGCGUUCACCUAGACAUGCGAGACGCUGGGUUCCAUCCUCAGCACCUCAU